RNAcentral lists this long non-coding RNA (2389 nucleotides) under Homo sapiens (human). Its description in RNAcentral is "non-protein coding LINC01224:6". Lineage: Eukaryota; Metazoa; Chordata; Mammalia; Primates; Hominidae. The record is from RNAcentral.
UUUGGCGGGGCUUUUGUCUCUCGCUGCAGCCAGAGCUUGGGAUCGCUUUCUGCUAUUCAACGUCCUCCACCUCUGCCCCCCUCUCGCCCCAGCCGGUGACAGGCUGUUGCCCUGUGAUCUGCAGGUCCUGGGACGUGCACAGACAGCUAAGAUGCCAGGACAUUCCAGAAGGUGGGAAAGGCACCUGAGUAAUUUGACUCUCCUGCCUGGACCCAGCGUACAGAUGGGAUUGUGCUUCAUUGCUGGACCCAGCAUUUAGGGAUCGUCACUCCCGUGGAUGAUCAAAGCUACUCCGGGGGCUGAGGCAGGAGAAUCGCUUGAACUCGGGAAGCAGAAGUUGCAGUGAGCCAAGGUCGCACCACUGCACUCCAGCCCAGGCGACAUUGUGAGACUCCAUCUCAAAAAAAAAAAAAAGAAAAAAAGUGUACUAACAAGACCCAGCACACAGAGGAGACUUUUACCAUUGUAUGAACACCCAUCAAACAGUACACAUCAUCAUUGUGAGUUCUGAAUCUCACACAUAGAGGAAGUCAAAGGUGGAAAACUUGACUCUCAUAUUUGGAUCCAGUCCACAGGUGUGAUUUUGACGCACACUUCUGCCCAGCACCUGAGUAAUGUGAUUCUUCAGAAUUGGCCCGGCCCACAAAUAGGAUUGUGCCACACUGCUGGACCCAGUGCCUAAGUGAUGUAACUCUAUUCUUCUGCCUUGGUGCUACUCGAAAAAGACAUUGUAACAUAUCUCAGAGCCUUACACCCAGGUAAUGUGAGUCUCCUCUUCUGCCUUGCUGCUGCACACAGAAGCGGAAUAUGUACAGGAUUGUUAAUCUCAUCUUGGAUCUUCCUGCACUUGUGAUUGUGACACAUGCCUCUGUGUAGAACCUGAGUGAGUUUACUCUCCUGCCUGGAUUUAACCCAUAGAUGGAAUCGUGACAUAUCACUGUACCAGAAACUAGGUGAUGUGACUCUAUUUUCUUGCCUCUGUGUUUUUAUAUGGGGCAUCGUGACAUAUCACUGGGCCUUGCACCCAAGUGAUGGGAGUUUUCUCUCCUGCUUUGGUGCCGUCCACAAUGAAAAUUGUGAAAUAUUGCUGCCCUCCCCACUAGGUUAUGUUACUCUCCUGCCUCUGCUUUGCCCACAUGGGUCACUGUGACAUAUUGCUGGGUCUAAAACCCAGGUAAUGUCACUCUCUUGUUUGGGUUCUGCCUGCAGGAGUCAUUGUCACAUAUCUCUAUGCUCAUCACCCAGGUAAUAUGAUUCCCUUUUACUGCUUAGUUCCUUCUCACAAAACAACUUGUGACAUAUUGCUAGGCCCAAUACACCUAGCUGGUGUAACUCUUCUUUUCUUUUCUUUCCUUUUUUUUUUUUUUUUUUUGAGAUGGAGUCUCACUCUGUUGCCCAGGCUGGAGUGCAGCGGCAUGAUUUCAGCUCACUACAGCCUCUGCCUCCUAGGUUGAAGCGAUUGUCCUGACUUGGCCUCCCAAGUAGCUGGGAUUAAAGGCAUGUGCCACCACGCCCGGCUAAUUUUUGUAUUUAUAGUAGAGACAGGGUUUCGCCAUGUUGGCUAGGCUGGUUUCGAACUUCUAACCUCAGGUGAUCCUCCUGCCUCGGCCUCCCAAAGUACUGGAAUUACAGGCAUGAGCCACUGCACCUGGCCUGAUUCUUCUCUUCUUUCUAGGUUUCAACUGCAGCAGAGAUUGUAACAAACCACUGGGCCCAGCCGCAUAAUGAUGUUACUCUUUUGCCUUGGGCCUGCCCUCAGAAGGCACUGUCACAUAUUCAUGGGCCCAACGCCAAGGUGAUAUGUGUCUCCAGCCUGGACCCUGCCCACAGGGGGCAUUGUGACAUAUCUCUUGGCCCAUCAGAUGUUUGAUUGUUAUCCCCUCCCCUCUUCUACCCUGUGUUUGCCUAUAAAAGACACAGUCAUAUGUUCCUGGGCCCAGCACCUAGGUGUUGUCUUACUGGAAUGUGUCCACAUGGGGAUUGUGAUAUGUCACGUGGCCCAGUACUUAACUUGAUGUGACUCUCCUCUCAUGCCUAGGCCUUGUAGAGAAUCCCCUUCCCCUUUUGUUUUCCUUUUUUUCUUUGCAGAUCCAGGAGAUAAUCAACUAAGAGCCAGGCACCCGUUUAGGUCUAAUAAACAUUUUACAAACUGCUCUCUCUUUUAAUUCACCUAUCUGAGAGAUUCCUCUGUACAAUAAAACUUGGUCUCCACAAUCCUUUACCUUAACCUAAACCUUCCCUUUCAUUGAUCCCAGGUCUUCAGAUUCCACCACUUGUCAACCACAAAAUAUUUAAAUUUACCUGGAAGCCGCCCGCUUUGAGUUGUCCCGCCUUUCUGAACCAAACCAAUAUAUUCCUGCAAAACCGGCCAUGAUUAAAACAUCAAAAA